The sequence is a regulatory RNA element, 78 nucleotides long. It matches the Rfam family "L2-Alphaproteobacteria ribosomal protein leader". The record is from Rfam.
GGGGACCUUCGGGGCCCUUUAACAUAGGCGGGUCGGCUUUCUAACAUGGCCCGCCGUCUAGCUAACGGAAGAGAGCAA